GGCGAACGGGUGAGGACUACAUGGGUAACCUACCCUCGAGUGGGGAAUAACUAGCCGAAAGGUUAGCUAAUACCGCGUACGCUUCCAAGACUGCGGUUUUGGAAGGAAAGCGAUACCGUGGGUAUCGCGCUCUUGGAUGGGCUCAUGCCCUAUCAGCUUGUUGGUGAGGUAACGGCUCACCAAGGCUUCGACGGGUAGCUGAUCUGAGAGGAUGAUCAGCCACACUGGCACUGCGACACGGGCCAGACUCCUACGGGAGGCAGCAGUAAGGAAUAUUGCGCAAUGGGCGAAAGCCUGACGCAGCGACGCCGCGUGGGGGAUGAAGGUCUUCGGAUUGUAAACCCCCUUCGGAAGGGAAGAUGGGAUGGGGUAACCCAUUCGGACGGUACCUCCAGAAGCAGCCACGGCUAACUUCGUGCCAGCAGCCGCGGUAAUACGAAGGUGGCAAGCGUUGUUCGGAUUUACUGGGCGUACAGGGAGCGUAGGCGGUUGGAUAAGCCCUCCGUGAAAUCUCCAGGCUUAACCUGGAAAGUGCAGAGGGGACUGUUCAGCUAGAGGAUGGGAGAGGAGCGCGGAAUUCCCGGCGUAGCGGUGAAAUGCGUAGAGGUCGGGAGGAAGGCCGGUGGCGAAGGCGGCGCUCUGGAACAUUUCUGACGCUGAGGCUCGAAAGCGUGGGGAGCAAACAGGAUUAGAUACCCUGGUAGUCC
This 707-nucleotide ribosomal RNA is filed under the name uncultured bacterium. RNAcentral's name for it is "bacterial SSU rRNA". It matches the Rfam family "Bacterial small subunit ribosomal RNA", at positions 97 to 796 of the family's 1533-position model. The record is from RNAcentral.